RNAcentral lists this small nuclear RNA (18 nucleotides) under Arabidopsis thaliana (thale cress). RNAcentral describes it as "snRNA_05456". The record is from RNAcentral. Lineage: Eukaryota; Viridiplantae; Streptophyta; Magnoliopsida; Brassicales; Brassicaceae.
UUGGAUUGGGUGAGCAUA